GUUUGUUAAGCGAACGACGUAUUGACAAUAUUGUUUGGUUUACGACCAGCAGCUGUUAUGAUUAUAGGGAUAUUUGGUUAAUGUGGAUUAAUACCACAGCUCUGCGAUGUAUGUAGAAAUCGUUCCUCUGGAAGGAGGUGGAUGCCAGGAACUCCCAUAUGACCUUCCCAAGGCCCGUAUGGCGUAUGCCACCAAUACUUCAGUUGUAUAUCGUUGUUCAGGUGAUUAUGAACUAAAUGCGGGUGAUUUGGUGCGGACCUGUGUUAAUGGAACAUGGACGGGUUUUCCGCCUUCAUGUACUGCAGAAGAAUUUUUGAACAUGAAAGAGAAGAGGAGAGUCUUAGUGUGUAUUAUUGGUUGGUUAUCUCGUCUUAUAAGGAUUGUUAUUUCUCUUACUUAACUGUCAAACCUGAUUAAAACAUUGGUUAAGGUAA
Long non-coding RNA from Patella vulgata (common limpet), 434 nucleotides. RefSeq lists it as uncharacterized. The transcript has 3 exons. The record is from RefSeq and is a predicted model, not a curated record. Lineage: Eukaryota; Metazoa; Mollusca; Gastropoda; Patellidae.